Molecule: unclassified non-coding RNA, 637 nt
Filed under: Scedosporium boydii
Lineage: Eukaryota; Fungi; Ascomycota; Sordariomycetes; Microascales; Microascaceae
Description: sequence contains 18S rRNA gene, ITS1, 5.8S rRNA gene, ITS2, 28S rRNA gene
Rfam family: 5.8S ribosomal RNA (bases 223-376)
Source: RNAcentral
GAAGUAAAAGUCGUAACAAGGUCUCCGUUGGUGAACCAGCGGAGGGAUCAUUACAGAGUUACUACUCCAAAACCCAUUGUGAACCUUACCUAUGUUCUGUUGCCUCGGCGGCGUGGUCAGCGCCCCCUCUGAAAAGAGGACGAUGCCCUCCCGCCGGCAGCACCAAACUCUUGAAUUUUACAGCGGAUUACAGUUCUGAUUUGAAAAGAAAAAACAAGUUAAAACUUUCAACAACGGAUCUCUUGGUUCUGGCAUCGAUGAAGAACGCAGCGAAAUGCGAUAAGUAAUGUGAAUUGCAGAAUUCAGUGAAUCAUCGAAUCUUUGAACGCACAUUGCGCCCGGCAGUAAUCUGCCGGGCAUGCCUGUCCGAGCGUCAUUUCAACCCUCGAACCUCCGUUUCCUCAGGGAAGCUCAGGGUCGGUGUUGGGGCGCUACGGCGAGUCUUCGCGACCCUCCGUAGGCCCUGAAAUACAGUGGCGGUCCCGCCGCGGUUGCCUUCUGCGUAGUAAGUCUCUUUUGCAAGCUCGCAUUGGGUCCCGGCGGAGGCCUGCCGUCAAACCACCUAUAACUCCAGAUGGUUUGACCUCGGAUCAGGUAGGGUUACCCGCUGAACUUAAGCAUAUCAAUAAGCGGAGGA